GUGCACUGUGCUGAGGUGUGUUCAUCCGACGCCUGCAGCCAGGGCCUCAACUAUUCCCUGCUAGGCUGUUGUGGUGGGCAGCUGCAACUCCACUUAGUUUUGUUAGGAUGUGUGUCCUUAUCGUCCGCAGGCAUGUCUGUUCCUGAGCUCCCUUUCUCCUGCCGCUGGCUUUUCCAGACUGCCCUGGUCCGGCGGCAUGUUCGGCGAGUUUUGGCUUGCUGGGCAACCUGGCUAGUAUUUCGG
Molecule: non-coding RNA, 243 nt
Organism: Pelobates cultripes (western spadefoot toad)
Lineage: Eukaryota; Metazoa; Chordata; Amphibia; Anura; Pelobatidae
Source: the annotation of a GenBank genome assembly